Ipomoea nil (Japanese morning glory) is the source of this 757-nucleotide long non-coding RNA. RefSeq lists it as uncharacterized. Lineage: Eukaryota; Viridiplantae; Streptophyta; Magnoliopsida; Solanales; Convolvulaceae. The transcript is spliced from 3 exons. The record is from RefSeq and is a predicted model, not a curated record.
UUGUGGUAGCUAAGUCUUCCGGCUUAGAGGCCUUCCUCGGCAACAAGGCAGCAAGCAUCAACCACAAUGGACAGAAGUGAGCUCCGGCGCGACCUCCGGCGUUUCUCUCUGUUUCUGGCAAGUUUUGGCGGUAGCAACGGGAAGUUACGGCGAAGCUUUUCGACGUGAACCUUCAACCUUCCUUCUCGUUCGGCCUUCCCGGCAUAGCUCAACCCUUCGGCGGUGGUUUUGGGUGCUCCUAGAGGAUGUGGACAGUGAAGUGGAGCGGCUCCGGCAAUCGACAGAAAAGUGGAAGCUUUUCACGAUCAUCUCUUUCCGGCAUCCUCUCCGGCAUGUCAACAGGCAUUUUGGAUGUGUAAUGGUGACGAGCAGCUCCUCCCUUCCGUAUCCUCGGCUCUGGUCAGUAGCAUCUCCGGCAGCGGGCAGAUAGACGGGUGGUGGUGAGCACGUCGCUCAACCCGCGGGUUUGUUGGCAUGAAGUCGAAGCAGAAGAUGGUGAUGAAGGUUCCCGGUAACUUGGUUUCAUGAGUUGAGCCAAUGUUGGUGUUGGUUUUGGUUGGAUAAGCGAAUGAGGUGAUGUCUAAGUGAGCGCGCGGUCUAGUACUUGCUAGAAUAGAUUUCCCCUCUCGUUUUGUGGCCUAUGAGCCAGUGUAGAUGUAGAACUUUGAACUUGUGGGAUUAGUUGUGAACAGUGCAGAUAUUGCCUGUGCGUUCAUCCUUAUGGUGAACAUGGCAUAACACCCUGUGUUUCAGACUU